CCGUUCAUCCGAAAUUCAGCGGAAAAACAACGAUUUUAUUAUCAUUGCAGAAAAUGGCGUAAGAGCGGAACGAGUCGUAAUUAUUGCACACCUAUUUAAUUAUGUUCAAGUUUCCUUAGACAGUAAUCCAAAUAUCAGUUUUGUAAAUCACCUGAGUCUUCGCAUUUGCACCUUAACAAAAAAAAAGCAUUUUGAAAUUUGUACAAGGAAACUGAGCGUAUUUUACCAUAUCGAAUCACAGUAGUUGACCAGAAAUUAAAGAUAGCCAAUUAGAUUUUUCUAUUAACCAAAGAAGAAUGAAGCAUAAGAAAAAGUUCUGAGUAAGAGCGCUGUCAUGCCAAAAAACACCAGAAAAUGUAAGAAGAAAGUUAAGAAGACGCAGACCGGGACAUCCGUGCUGUCAGCCUUGUCAGAUGUUACAGUUAAUGAAUUUGCUAACAACCAAGCAAAGAGAAGUGGACACCGAAAGCAGACAAACGUCCAUGUAAUAAUGAAUGAAGUGGAGAGACUGAAAGUGGCCGAGGAUGAUAGGUCCUGGGAUGAAAAGGCUGAUGAUGACGAAUUUGAUGAUGAAGGCAAGGAAGGAGCCAGCGAUGAACAUGGAGGUGCAGGGCGAAGGAGAGGGAAAAGAAAAUACAGUACAAAGGAAACAGAUUCAGAUAUUACAGAGGGUAUUGACUUGCCACUCGAUAUCUGGUUUUUGAUCAGUGAGCAUAUCCGUCCUGAAGAUGUUGGAAGAUUUGGUGCAAUUUGUUAUGCUACUUUUUAUGUGAUAUCCACUGGAAGGUUUUGGAUUACUUUAUAUAAAAGGCACCACAGACUAAUCUCAGAACUCCCACAAGAGCUGACCAUCUGGAACAUGGAACGCCUGAGGGGUCUCAAGGCCAAUGUGAUUCGCGCUCUCUUUUACAUGUACCCUCCAUUCCAUGCUCGAAUUAUAGGAGAAAAGCCCUUGACAGCUGAUCCCACUCGGCUGUUGCGUACUCAGUGUGUGUUGCAAUGGCAUAGUAAAGUGGGCAGCCUAUAUAGAUAUUACUUCAAGUUUAACAAGCAAAUGCAGAAUAAGAAAAGACUCACGUCAGCAAGAGAAGGCUUGCCAAACCUUAUGGCAAUGGAUAGUCUGAUACAUGUUAAUGACAAUGAAGGUUGCUAUAUAAUAGAGGAAAGGUGAAAUCAGGUAACGUCACACUGUUGGGCAGACACCCAUGGAAGAAUUGCAAGAUUAUUGUAACUUACAUGUCUUCAUCAGUUACCCUCUGUUCACAAAAUGAGCUGUUAUGUUUUCUGGUGAUGUGGUACUACACAUCACGUAUUCAUCCCCAACUAUGGAUGAAGCCUGAAUGCUCGGAUCGUCACACUGCCAGUUACACAUGACCACGCAAAGCUAGGCAGCACAACCUAGGAAGAAUUCCAAUCACUCUUACCAUGCCAUCACAAGCUGCAUAUGUGCCGUCCCCAUGGUGAUGGGCGAAUUCCUCCACCAUGCCGGUCUUGGGGUGUCAGCUGACCUGCGCUCCCACCGUUUACACCUUUCACUUGCUCCAGCUCACCUCCUCCCCAGC
Molecule: RNA transcript, 1562 nt
Organism: Penaeus chinensis
Lineage: Eukaryota; Metazoa; Arthropoda; Malacostraca; Decapoda; Penaeidae
Gene: fsd
Gene name: transmembrane protein 183-like
Exons: 10
Source: RefSeq, a predicted model, not a curated record